RNAcentral lists this ribosomal RNA (254 nucleotides) under uncultured bacterium. Its description in RNAcentral is "partial 16S ribosomal RNA". It matches the Rfam family "Bacterial small subunit ribosomal RNA", at positions 524 to 776 of the family's 1533-position model. The record is from RNAcentral.
UACGUAGGGUGCGAGCGUUGUCCGGAAUUAUUGGGCGUAAAGAGCUCGUAGGCGGUGUGUCGCGUCGGCCGUGAAAACCUGGGGCUUAACUCUGGGCGUGCGGUCGAUACGGGCAUCACUGGAGUUCGGCAGGGGAGACUGGAAUUCCUGGUGUAGCGGUGAAAUGCGCAGAUAUCAGGAGGAACACCGGUGGCGAAGGCGGGUCUCUGGGCCAAUACUGACGCUGAGGAGCGAAAGCCAGGGGAGCAAACGGG